Molecule: ribosomal RNA, 232 nt
Filed under: uncultured bacterium
Lineage: Bacteria
Description: partial 16S ribosomal RNA
Rfam family: Bacterial small subunit ribosomal RNA
Source: RNAcentral
CGGGACGGGUGAGUAAUGUCUGGGAAACUGCCUGAUGGAGGGGGGUAACUACUGGAAACGGUAGCUAAUACCGCAUAACGUCGCAAGACCAAAGAGGGGGACCUUCGGGCCUCUUGCCAUCGGAUGUGCCCAGAUGGGAUUAGCUAGUAGGUGGGGUAACGGCUCACCUAGGCGACGAUCCCUGGCUGGUCUGAGAGGAUGACCAGCCACACUGAACUGAGACACGGUCCAG